CAGACACCAAGCAGAGGAUGACUGCCUUCAUCUGUGCGACCACCAGAGGGACAGAGACGACUCCCUAGCAACAACUGACGCAGCCGCGUAGAAGAAAGCCACGUAACCCCGGAAGAGCCUGAUGAUAAAAGGGGACUGCAAAAGGGGGAAGUUGCGCACCGUUUGGAGGAGCAUGAGCUCCCCGGCCGCCCAGCGCUGUUUUGCUUGCUGAUCGCUUACUCAAUAAACUA
Molecule: long non-coding RNA, 230 nt
Organism: Cygnus olor (mute swan)
Lineage: Eukaryota; Metazoa; Chordata; Aves; Anseriformes; Anatidae
Exons: 3
Source: RefSeq, a predicted model, not a curated record